UUAAUAGAAGCCAAAAAGAGGCUAUUCACUGUUAAUGAAUUUAUUGAUACAUCAUCCUAUUAAG
RNAcentral lists this transfer RNA (64 nucleotides) under Otobius lagophilus. Its description in RNAcentral is "tRNA-Asn". The record is from RNAcentral. Lineage: Eukaryota; Metazoa; Arthropoda; Arachnida; Ixodida; Argasidae.